Molecule: long non-coding RNA, 240 nt
Organism: Amphimedon queenslandica
Lineage: Eukaryota; Metazoa; Porifera; Demospongiae; Haplosclerida; Niphatidae
Exons: 2
Source: RefSeq, a predicted model, not a curated record
AGACCAAGGUGUAGACUCACCUGUUAAAAUUGCUGCCAACAGCAAUCAAUGCAGGAAAGUAGUUUUGGAGUUACAGUCAGCCUCCGAUGAUCUUGCGGCGUUGGGUGAGUCAUCAGACCAUCCGGUAGUCAUAAGUAGCAGCAGUGAUGAAGAAGAAGACGUUAAAGAGAAGGAUGAGUAUAUUUAUAUUUUUGAAAGUGAUGAAGAACCUGAAAGUGAUGAAGAAUGUUAUUUCCAGAA